AGGAUUGUGUCAUGCAUCAGGAAUAUCGUGCCAUCUCAACAAGUAAAAGUGCACCAGAAACAGGUGCAGCGACUUAUCUACAUGAAAGUCAAUAUAAAUUCAGUGGACAUUUAAAGAUCAAAUGCAUAAGCAAGCAUGGAAAGAGAAAGCGUUGGAAAGAUCAAUAUGUUGUCAUCUCAGAAGGGAAUUUAUAUGUGUAUUCAGAUGUGAGUGCAAAGACCUUAAAAAUAUCUUACCCCAUAUGCAAUUUUGGAAGG
Molecule: long non-coding RNA, 257 nt
Organism: Ruditapes philippinarum (Manila clam)
Lineage: Eukaryota; Metazoa; Mollusca; Bivalvia; Venerida; Veneridae
Exons: 3
Source: RefSeq, a predicted model, not a curated record